UACGUAGGGUGCAAGCGUUGUCCGGACUUAUUGGGCGUAAAGAGCUCGUAGGCGGUGUGUCGCGUCGGCCGUGAAAACCUGCAGCUUAACUGUGGGCUUGCGGUCGAUACGGGCAUCACUGGAGUUCGGCAGGGGAGACUGGAAUUCCUGGUGUAGCGGUGAAAUGCGCAGAUAUCAGGAGGAACACCGGUGGCGAAGGCGGGUCUCUGGGCCGAUACUGACGCUGAGGAGCGAAAGCGUGGGGAGCGAACAGG
This 254-nucleotide ribosomal RNA is filed under the name uncultured bacterium. Its description in RNAcentral is "partial 16S ribosomal RNA". It matches the Rfam family "Bacterial small subunit ribosomal RNA", at positions 524 to 776 of the family's 1533-position model. The record is from RNAcentral.